CCUACGGGAGACUGCAGUGGGGAAUAUUGGGCAAUGGGCGCAAGCCUGACCCAGCAACGCCGCGUGAAGGAAGAAGGCUUUCGGGUUGUAAACUUCUUUUCUCAGGGACGAAGAAAGUGACGGUACCUGAGGUAUAAGCCACGGCUAACUACGUGCCAGCAGUCGCGGUAAUACGGAGGUGGCAAGCGUUAUCCGGAUUUAUUGGGUGUAAAGGGCGUGUAGGCGGGAGCGAAAGUCAGAUGUGAAAACUCAGGGCUCAACCCUGAGCCUGCAUUUGAAACUGUGUUUCUUGAGUGCAGGAGAGGCAAGCGGAAUGCAGGGUGUAGCGGUGAAAUGCGUAGAUAUACGGAGGAACACCAGUGGCGAAGGCGGAUUGCUGGACAGUAACUGACGCUGAGGCGCGAAAGCGUGGGGAGCAAACAGGAUUAGAUACCCCGGUAGUC
This 443-nucleotide ribosomal RNA is filed under the name uncultured bacterium. RNAcentral describes it as "partial 16S ribosomal RNA". It matches the Rfam family "Bacterial small subunit ribosomal RNA", at positions 338 to 795 of the family's 1533-position model. The record is from RNAcentral.